RNAcentral lists this ribosomal RNA (366 nucleotides) under uncultured bacterium. Its description in RNAcentral is "bacterial SSU rRNA". It matches the Rfam family "Bacterial small subunit ribosomal RNA", at positions 29 to 420 of the family's 1533-position model. The record is from RNAcentral.
AACGAACGCUGGCGGCAUGCCUAACACAUGCAAGUCGAACGAGACCUUCGGGUCUAGUGGCGCACGGGUGCGUAACGCGUGGGAAUCUGCCCUUGGGUUCGGGAAUAACUUCGGGAAACUGAAGCUAAUACCGGAUGAUGACGUAAGUCCAAAGAUUUAUCGCCCAAGGAUGAGCCCGCGUAGGAUUAGCUAGUUGGUGAGGUAAAGGCUCACCAAGGCGACGAUCCUUAGCUGGUCUGAGAGGAUGAUCAGCCACACUGGGACUGAGACACGGCCCAGACUCCUACGGGAGGCAGCAGUGGGGAAUAAUUGGACAAUGGGCGAAAGCCUGAUCCAGCAAUGCCGCGUGAGUGAUGAAGGCCUCGG